GAUGAACGCUGGCGGCGUGCCUAAUACAUGCAAGUCGAGCGAACAGACGAGGAGCUUGCUCCUCUGACGUUAGCGGCGGACGGGUGAGUAACACGUGGAUAACCUACCUAUAAGACUGGGAUAACUUCGGGAAACCGGAGCUAAUACCGGAUAAUAUAUUGAACCGCAUGGUUCAAUAGUGAAAGACGGUUUUGCUGUCACUUAUAGAUGGAUCCGCGCCGCAUUAGCUAGUUGGUAAGGUCACGGCUUACCAAGGCGACGAUGCGUAGCCGACCUGAGAGGGUGAUCGGCCACACUGGAACUGAGACACGGUCCAGACUCCUACGGGAGGCAGCAGUAGGGAAUCUUCCGCAAUGGGCGAAAGCCUGACGGAGCAACGCCGCGUGAGUGAUGAAGGUCUUCGGAUCGUAAAACUCUGUUAUUAGGGAAGAACAAAUGUGUAAGUAACUAUGCACGUCUUGACGGUACCUAAUCAGAAAGCCACGGCUAACUACGUG
RNAcentral lists this ribosomal RNA (497 nucleotides) under uncultured bacterium. Its description in RNAcentral is "partial 16S ribosomal RNA". It matches the Rfam family "Bacterial small subunit ribosomal RNA", at positions 28 to 507 of the family's 1533-position model. The record is from RNAcentral.